UCUAGCUGUAGAUAACUGCCUAGGUUGCCUUAUACCUAAGGAAGUAUUACACUGCUGGGGAGAAAAAGCAGCAACAGCUGAUCGGUAUUCUGGGCCUGAUUAAUGCCAAAUUUGUGUUAACUAUACCAAUGUGCCAGCAUAGUUGCUUAUUUUAUUAUUUUUAAAGACAUC
Small nucleolar RNA from Ochotona princeps (American pika), 171 nucleotides. Its record names the gene SNORA74. It matches the Rfam family "Small nucleolar RNA SNORA74". Rfam says of the family: U19 belongs to the H/ACA class of snoRNAs. snoRNAs bind a number of proteins (including dyskerin, Gar1p and Nop10p in the case of the H/ACA class) to form snoRNP complexes. This class are thought to guide the sites of modification of uridines to pseudouridines by forming direct base pairing interactions with substrate RNAs. The record is from Ensembl. NCBI's taxonomy places the organism in Eukaryota, Metazoa, Chordata, Mammalia, Lagomorpha, Ochotonidae.